GCCCGGAUGGCGGAAUCGGUAGACGCACGGGAUUCAAAAUCCCGCGCCGCAAGGCGUGCCGGUUCGAGUCCGGCUCCGGGCACCA
RNAcentral lists this transfer RNA (85 nucleotides) under Parasulfuritortus sp. Its description in RNAcentral is "tRNA-Leu". It matches the Rfam family "tRNA". From Rfam's summary of the family: Transfer RNA (tRNA) molecules are approximately 80 nucleotides in length. Their secondary structure includes four short double-helical elements and three loops (D, anti-codon, and T loops). Lineage: Bacteria; Pseudomonadati; Pseudomonadota; Betaproteobacteria; Nitrosomonadales; Thiobacillaceae. The record is from RNAcentral.